This 465-nucleotide ribosomal RNA is filed under the name Vreelandella stevensii. Its description in RNAcentral is "partial 16S ribosomal RNA". It matches the Rfam family "Bacterial small subunit ribosomal RNA", at positions 338 to 795 of the family's 1533-position model. The record is from RNAcentral. Lineage: Bacteria; Pseudomonadati; Pseudomonadota; Gammaproteobacteria; Oceanospirillales; Halomonadaceae.
CCUACGGGUGGCAGCAGUGGGGAAUAUUGGACAAUGGGCGAAAGCCUGAUCCAGCCAUGCCGCGUGUGUGAAGAAGGCCUUCGGGUUGUAAAGCACUUUCAGUGGGGAAGAAAGCCUUGGGGCUAAUACCCUCGAGGAAGGACAUCACCCACAGAAGAAGCACCGGCUAACUCCGUGCCAGCAGCCGCGGUAAUACGGAGGUUGCGAGCGUUAAUCGGAAUUACUGGGCGUAAAGCGCGCGUAGGCGGUCUGAUAAGCCGGUUGUGAAAGCCCCGGGCUCAACCUGGGAACGGCAUCCGGAACUGUCAGGCUAGAGUGCAGGAGAGGAAGGUAGAAUUCCCGGUGUAGCGGUGAAAUGCGUAGAGAUCGGGAGGAAUACCAGUGGCGAAGGCGGCCUUCUGGACUGACACUGACGCUGAGGUGCGAAAGCGUGGGUAGCAAACAGGAUUAGAUACCCGUGUAGUC